CCGGCGCACGGGUGAGUAACGCGUAUCCAACCUUCCCAUAACUAAGGAAUAACCUGCCGAAAGGCAGACUAAUACCUUAUGUAAUCCUUUGAUGGCAUCAGAUAAGGAUAAAAGAUUUAUCGGUUAUGGAUGGGGAUGCGUCUGAUUAGCUUGUUGGCGGGGUAACGGCCCACCAAGGCAACGAUCAGUAGGGGUUCUGAGAGGAAGGUCCCCCACAUUGGAACUGAGACACGGUCCAAACUCCUACGGGAGGCAGCAGUGAGGAAUAUUGGUCAAUGGACGGAAGUCUGAACCAGCCAAGUAGCGUGCAGGAAGACGGCCCUAUGGGUUGUAAACUGCUUUUGUAUGGGGAUAAAGUCAAUCACGUGUGAUUGUUUGCAGGUACCAUACGAAUAAGGACCGGCUAAUUCCGUGCCAGCAGCCGCGGUAAUACGGAAGGUUCGGGCGUUAUCCGGAUUUAUUGGGUUUAAAGGGAGCGUAGGCCGGAGAUUAAGUGUGUUGUGAAAUGUAGACGCUCAACGUCUGACUUGCAGCGCAUACUGGUUUCCUUGAGUACGCACAACGUUGGCGGAAUUCGUCGUGUAGCGGUGAAAUGCUUAG
This 600-nucleotide ribosomal RNA is filed under the name uncultured bacterium. RNAcentral's name for it is "bacterial SSU rRNA". It matches the Rfam family "Bacterial small subunit ribosomal RNA", at positions 95 to 693 of the family's 1533-position model. The record is from RNAcentral.